Molecule: ribosomal RNA, 390 nt
Filed under: uncultured bacterium
Lineage: Bacteria
Description: bacterial SSU rRNA
Rfam family: Bacterial small subunit ribosomal RNA
Source: RNAcentral
GAUGAACGCUGGCGGCGCGCCUAAUACAUGCAAGUCGAGCGAGAAGACGUAGCAAUACGUUUGUAAAGCGGCGAACGGGUGAGGAAUACAUGGGUAACCUACCCUAGAGUGGGGAAUAACUAGCCGAAAGGUUAGCUAAUACCGCGUACGCUCCUUGGACUUCGGUUCAGGGAGGAAAGCGAUACCGAGGGUAUCGCGCUCUUGGAUGGGCUCAUGUCCUAUCAGCUUGUUGGUGAGGUAACGGCUCACCAAGGCUUCGACGGGUAGCUGGUCUGAGAGGACGAUCAGCCACACUGGCACUGCGACACGGGCCAGACUCCUACGGGAGGCAGCAGUAAGGAAUAUUGCGCAAUGGGCGAAAGCCUGACGCAGCGACGCCGCGUGGGGGGA